Long non-coding RNA from Dermacentor albipictus, 2217 nucleotides. RefSeq lists it as uncharacterized. The record is from RefSeq and is a predicted model, not a curated record. Lineage: Eukaryota; Metazoa; Arthropoda; Arachnida; Ixodida; Ixodidae.
UGACGCUGCUCGCAGGCCACAGCUGGCAGGGGUCCUCUCUCUCUCGUUUGCGACACGGCCAUCGGCCCGUACCGAGUGCUAUCGCUUCCCGGCCACAGUUUCGCAUCCACGUGCGUGAAAGGGCGCGAAAUGUGGAACCGCGGAAGUCGGUGGCACGCGCAAUUAGCGUCAGGCUAACCAGUGGCGUAUUGCUUCCAGUUCAUCUGGCUACGCUGAAGCACGGACGCUGCCUUCGGUCCGCGGCGCGUUGCGGCCAAAGUACGCGGCCACUUUUCUUUCUUUUCCAUUCCUUGUGCCACGCCGUGUUUUUGUCGCUCGACGCGCGGACCACGUUUGAAGAGUUCAUCUCCCACGGCUCGUGCGAUGACGCUUGUCAAAAUUUCAGGUACACACCCUAGGCCUCCGCUUCCAGCGCACUCCUGCAACGUCCCUGCGCCCUGCCGUGUCCCAGACGGAUGACGUCCAUCGCCUGUCGUGCCGCGGCUGACCGUCUGUACACUCAUGCUCCAGCCACACAGCUACUGGUUUCCUGGCCAACGACGAAACCUGCGCGACCCGCCCUGCAGUACGUCGACUGCGCUUCCCCAGCCUUUGCCAUCAGUCUCGUACGGCGGAUGUUCCUGCACCCUGACGUGUCCCAGAGGAACGACGUUCAUCGCCUGUUGUCCCACGGUUGACCCUCUGUGCACUUCUCCUGCAGCCACACAGCUACUGGUUUCCUGGCCAAUGAAGAACCCUGCAGUACGUCGACUGCGCGUAGUCUGCAACCCUUGUCUUGACAUCCGCCUCCCCUGAAGAUUUGUCCCGCCUGCGUAGUAGGCCAUGACGUCCAGUGCUCAUCGUAGUGCGGCAAGCCUUGCUCACGAGACAGUUCGUCACAUUGCUACGCCCGCUGACGUUGAGCUGGUGGAAAAGUCCCUCUCUGCCAUUCUCGGUGCUGCCUCGAUGACGCUGCACAACUACGGAGUCGUGACGCGAACACCGAUCACGGCAUCCCUGUGAGAGUUCUUUCCGUCCGGUAGCUGUAUCAUGGCCGUUCCAUAAAGACUCGUAUUCAUAGCCCCUGACUGUUUGACGAGCAGACCAAAACAAUUCCACGUAACAUGCUGGCUCAUCUGCGGUACACUGCUCAGUCAAUCUGUAGGUUGGUGCACGUUAAUUCACAUCGUGUGCCCUCAUAAUGGUACGCUGAUGCUGGUUCGCAUGGUAAAGUUGCGCGCGCGCGCGUUUGUGUGUGUGUGUGUGUGUGUGUGUGUGUGUGUGUGUGUGUGUGUGUGUGUGUGUGUGUGUGUGUGUGUGUGUGUGUGUGUGUGUGUGUGUGUGUGUGUGCUGGGUGCGUUCUUACCUCGUCUCAUCUGUGAAUUCUUGAGAAAGCUCGUCGAUGGUUCCACAGUGAUGGUCGCCAAUUUUUUUCCAAAAUCCUUCCAACUUUGGCUCUGGGCGUUACCCUUAAUUGAAGGGCGUCCAGUGGUGUAUUUGGCUGUGGCCCUUACCUCGUCACCUUUUCUAAUCCAAGGGGUCCCUGUUCGUAUAUUUUCUCUGUCCAUAUCUUCCUUGUUUAUCAAGUUAUUCAUAAUGACUAAUGCGAAGCAUCAGCGUACCGUUACAAAAAGCAUACGGUGUGAAGUAAAGGCAAUAACACAUUUCCGCUAGCUUGUGAGCAUCAUUCGUAUCCGCAUAUCCUUUGAAAUAGUGCUGGCAUGGCACCAAGCUUAUAUUCAAAAACCUGUCUACACUCAUUAUUCAUGUUAGCGCUAAAGCUGCGUACCACUACACAGCCAAGAAAAGCAGAUCCUCGACCUCCCUUCAGCAAGAUUGGACAUUGAUCGGACGCCACCACCGCACGUGGCUGCGAUGUUAAGUCUUGAUCACUGUUUCAUCACCGUUACUUUUGUACUUCGCUGUUCGCUGUCCUGUGUAAAUUUACCUGCUUACAUCCACUUGUACUUUUCUAUAACAUGUACUUGCUGUACAAUAUUCAUUGGAAAUUAAUGAUGAUGACAAUAUGUACUUAUUGAGGGAUGGCUCGAAGGCCCAUAAUGGGCCUAAUAAUGGACUUAAUAAAAUGACGAAGGUGUUCUUCAGGAACAUUUCCCAUGUGUGAAGAACACUGUACAGUUGUAAACAGUUUGACUUUUUCUAAUGCAUAUUCUUGUCAACUCGGCGUUCACUGGAGUUCUAUGCGAAUUGAAAUAAAAUUUUGGACAUAGUUCCAGA